UCCCGCACCUCGCACUCUCCCCCGACCCACCCGCCGCCGCCGCCCCAGGAAACCCCCAACCCACCCAUCGCCGGGGACCACCCAACCGCCACCGCCCUCAACCCCAGCCACCAUGGCCCCCGACCCCAGGCGUCGCCGCCCCGCCAAUCCCGGGUGUCGCUGCCCCUUGAAAUCUCCCGAUCCGGAAUCACGCCAGCUAGCCACCCCACCCAUCGCGGCGGCGCCUUCUACGGUGAUGCUGACGCCGGCCUCCUCUCGCAGCACCGCCGGCGCUCUGCUGGUAGAAGUUCGAGGCCGGAUCCAGAAGAAGUUCGAGGAAUGCUCCUAACACCAGAGCUGCCAUCCGCCCCCGCUCUCCGCCCCCGCGUGAGGAUCCUACCGGAGAAAGCGAGAUUGACUCGCCCAAGCAUUGACUCCUCCCGGGCUCUGCCACCCUGCUCCCAUGAUCCGCCGCCCCCCUGCAGCAACGCCCUUGCCCCCCAAAGCAGCAGCCCAGGGGCAUUAUGCCAUCUGUAGUGCAUCUAGCCCAACACACCAUGCUCCUCAACUCUCUCCUCUGCAUCUCCUGCCUUGGCAUCCCUCGCGUGUGACCUUCUCCAGCGCCUCUGAUCGACCUUCCCGUCAUCUCUUGCUUGAACCCGUGCACCACUUCUUCUGAAUCAGCUCUACUUGUUCGAAGCUAUAGAGCAUUUUCUUCAGGGCAGUGGAGAGAACCCUCACCCUUAUCCGAUCUGCAGCGCCGCCCGAGUUGUCCCAACGCAACCCCAAGCUGUUCAACUACGCAGCCCCAGGCCGUUCAAUGACAGAGCCGCUGGAAGUUCAUGAACACAUCACCUGGAUCCUGCUGCCCACCAUCCAGUUCAAUUUCUGCUGAAUCUGGUGAAGGGAGACUUCUUCUGAGAUCAAUUCCCUCUUUGGUUUCGUUUCCACAUGUCGCCAGUUGGUAUUUCCCGGAAAGAUUUAUGUAUACUGGGAUCUCCAUGUACUGAACAUGUUAGAAAGAUAUCUCAUGUAUAUUCGUCUCUUGUGUGCUGCAGUCCCUUAGCUCGCCGCGUCUUCUCAGCAAGCCGUGGAGACAAGACCAUGCAUCCAAAAUUGUUCCUGAUGGAGACACCACUCUGCUUGUUGCUACCUACAUCCCGUGGAAGACAGUGGGCACGGCCUUGCUAUAGACCCUGCAUGUUGCUGCGGCCGUGCUCCUGGCUACCUAGGCGUGCCCGUGCCUCUAGCUCCCGCCAGAAAAUUGGCCACCAUUGCAGGUCAGCUUCUCCUGAUGUGCCAGUCCAGCUGCGAAAAUGAAGAGUACAGGGAAGCUUCUCCAGGAAAUGGCCACCAUUGCGGUUGGUUUCUCAAUCAAGAUGUUGCUUGUCUGAGAGUACAUGGAAGAAGAAAAUCACGGAGAAGAUAACGCAUCAGCACUGUGUGGGUAAGGUGAGAGAAGAUAUGAAGGGAAUGUGUGGUGGAGAAAUGCAAGUCCGCCACUAGUUAGUGCAUCUUUUAUGUAAAAAAGGAUUGGGUGCUUGUAGUUACAGUGUGGCCAUGUGAUUUGAGAAUAUUGUUUGUAAGCGUGCAUUGUCUUUUUGCUGCUGAUUCUUAUGCUCAAAUGAUCCCUAAAUUUCUAUAGUGUUUGCA
Long non-coding RNA from Triticum aestivum (bread wheat), 1632 nucleotides. RefSeq lists it as uncharacterized. The record is from RefSeq and is a predicted model, not a curated record. The transcript is spliced from 2 exons. NCBI's taxonomy places the organism in Eukaryota, Viridiplantae, Streptophyta, Magnoliopsida, Poales, Poaceae.